GGCCGCCUGGCGAAAUGGCAUCGCGUCUGACUACGAAACAUUGAAACCACAAUGUUAGCGAUCAGGAGAUUGCAGGUUCGACCCCUGCGGCGGUCA
This 96-nucleotide transfer RNA is filed under the name Trametes cinnabarina. RNAcentral describes it as "Pycnoporus cinnabarinus tRNA". It matches the Rfam family "tRNA". Rfam says of the family: Transfer RNA (tRNA) molecules are approximately 80 nucleotides in length. Their secondary structure includes four short double-helical elements and three loops (D, anti-codon, and T loops). Further hydrogen bonds mediate the characteristic L-shaped molecular structure. tRNAs have two regions of fundamental functional importance: the anti-codon, which is responsible for specific mRNA codon recognition, and the 3' end, to which the tRNAs corresponding amino acid is attached (by aminoacyl-tRNA synthetases). tRNAs cope with the degeneracy of the genetic code in two manners: having more than one tRNA (with a specific anti-codon) for a particular amino acid; and 'wobble' base-pairing, i.e. permitting non-standard base-pairing at the 3rd anti-codon position. The record is from Rfam by way of RNAcentral. Lineage: Eukaryota; Fungi; Basidiomycota; Agaricomycetes; Polyporales; Polyporaceae.